This 69-nucleotide transfer RNA is filed under the name Cepola schlegelii. RNAcentral's name for it is "tRNA-Arg". It matches the Rfam family "tRNA". From Rfam's summary of the family: Transfer RNA (tRNA) molecules are approximately 80 nucleotides in length. Lineage: Eukaryota; Metazoa; Chordata; Actinopteri; Priacanthiformes; Cepolidae (in: ray-finned fishes). The record is from RNAcentral.
AGGUAAUUAGUUUAAAUAAAACACUUGAUUUCGGCUCAAGAGCCUGUGGUUAAAGUCCACAAUAACCUG